Molecule: ribosomal RNA, 464 nt
Filed under: uncultured Desulfobulbus sp.
Lineage: Bacteria; Pseudomonadati; Thermodesulfobacteriota; Desulfobulbia; Desulfobulbales; Desulfobulbaceae
Description: bacterial SSU rRNA
Rfam family: Bacterial small subunit ribosomal RNA
Source: RNAcentral
CACAAGCGGUGGAGUAUGUGGUUUAAUUCGAUGCAACGCGAAGAACCUUACCUGGCCUUGACAUCCCGGGAAUUUCCUGGAAACAGGAGAGUGCUUUCAUUAGAGAGAACCUGGAGACAGGUGCUGCAUGGCUGUCGUCAGCUCGUGUCGUGAGAUGUUGGGUUAAGUCCCGCAACGAGCGCAACCCUUGCCUUUAGUUGCCAGCAGUUCGGCUGGGCACUCUAAAGGGACUGCCGGUGUCAAACCGGAGGAAGGUGGGGAUGACGUCAAGUCCUCAUGGCCUUUAUGGCCAGGGCUACACACGUACUACAAUGGCCGGUACAAAGGGCAGCGACAUUGCGAGAUGGAGCGAAUCCCGAAAAGCCGGUCUCAGUUCGGAUUGCAGGCUGCAAUUCGCCUGCAUGAAGUCGGAAUCGCUAGUAAUCGCAGGUCAACAUACUGCGGUGAAUACGUUCCCGGGCCUU